Long non-coding RNA from Rosa rugosa (rugosa rose), 1871 nucleotides. RefSeq lists it as uncharacterized. The transcript is spliced from 5 exons. The record is from RefSeq and is a predicted model, not a curated record. Lineage: Eukaryota; Viridiplantae; Streptophyta; Magnoliopsida; Rosales; Rosaceae.
UGUAAACCCAGAAACAAUGAAACUAACUGACCAACAAACGAAAAAUUAGUUUAAUCUGCCGUGACUGACUCAUAAGAACUUUUAACUUUUAGUCCUACCACUUUAAUUUCUUUUUUGAAAUGGUGCCCUCUGCUCGAAGUCCUAAUUGGAAGACGAGCCAAAUCAAAGCACGGUCAAACCGGAAGACUUUGGCAGCUCCAAGUUUGUUGAAUCUCAGUAGUUGAACUACACCGGCCUUCAGAUCUUUCUUGUUCCACUGAUUCAACGUUUUCUGGACAUAUGGAUUCAGAUUUUCAUCUUGUACCAUCAUCACAAACAAAUGGUAUUAGUCGGGGGAGAAGCUUUAGGAGCAUCAUUUCUGGUGCUGUAUGAUGCCAUUAAGGAACUGAAUGACCAUCCUUUGAUGUUAAAAUCCCUCCUUGGAGAUAUCAAAUCCACAGGUUCUAUAAAGAACCACUGAUCAAAGAGACAGCAGAGGAUGAAAAGGAAUUGGAUUUUCCAGAGGAUGAACUACAAAAUUUUAGAGUACAAAUGGAGGAGGAAGUUGAGCUAAUUCGCAAGUGCUCCAAGGUUGGUCAUUUGAGUCCUUACAAAAAAUAUAAGUACGCAAACAAACUAGUUGAAUUGGGAAAUUCUAUGCAAAGACUGUUGGAUAUACUGAAAGUGCAUGGCAUAAGAGAUGUUAAGAAAACCUUGGUUACGGUAAAGAAUAUUGAGACUAUGGUCCAGCAAAUUGAUCAAUUUUGGGAGACAAAAUAAUCCAUCUGAAAUUAUUGAAGGUUGGUGUGCAAUACCUGGACCUCCACCGCUUGUUGUUGGAUUGGAUGGGCCUUUGAUGGAAUUGAAGAUGAAGUUUUUCAAAGAUGAUAUGUGCGCCUGGAGGAAGUGGGAAAACUACACUGGCAAUAAAGUUUUGUCAAGGUGGAGAUGUCAGAGUUUGUUGAAUCUCAGUAGCUGAACUAGACCGGCCUGCAGAUCUUUCUUGUUUCACUGGUUCAUGCUUUUCUGGCAAAUAGAGACCAAAUUGGAUUUUCAUGCUUCAUUUUCGCUUGUCUUGUUGCAAGGGCUCGGAGAAUGGCUGCUGCGCUUGCUGGUGGAGCAGUGUUAGGGACAGUAUUUUUAGAGCUGUACAAGGGCGUUCAGACACUGAUCAGAACAACUAAGCAUUUUAAAGACCUUGCCAAAAGCAUCGAAUUGAAAUUAGAAUGCUUGCUACCACUGAUCAAGCAGAUUGAGGAACAAAACAUGGAACUUGGUCGCUCGAACCAGUGUACAGAAAAAUUUAAAAUAGAAAUCGUCGAGGGCCUAGAGCUUGUCCGAAAUUGCUCUAAGGUUGGUCCAUUGGAAAUAUCCAAAAAGAGGAAUUACAUCAGAGAACUUCGUAAGUUGGAUGGUUCACUUAAGAACUGGUUAGAUAUACUCAUGUCGGAUGGAGUGAGAGAUGGGAAGGAGACCUUGCAAUCGGUGAGGACGAUGACUAAAAUGAUGAUGGCCAUGUUUAUUGUUGUUCUUGGGGUUCUUGUCACAACUAUCAUUGUUAUAAUAAGAGAAAACAAAAGGCGUUGUGACAAAUAAGCACAACGAAAUAAAACUAUGAAAGAAAACAAUAAGGAACAAUGAUUAAUCGAGUUUGAUGCAAAAAUUGGGGAAAUCAAAUUUGAAAUUGCUCCAAUCAUCACAUAAAUAUAUAUAGGAACACAAGCAUGUAAUUAGUGGAUAUAAUUCGAUUGAGUUAUGUCCAUUUUGGUGUUAAAUAGUGGUUUUCAUUGUGAAUGAAUGAGAGAUUAAAACAAUAUUUUCAUUUGUACAUAGUUAGAACUCUGUGUGUCUUUAUACAACGAGUGAUUAAGAUUUAUAAUUCUUUAGCUCAA